Molecule: transfer-messenger RNA, 260 nt
Filed under: Opitutia bacterium
Lineage: Bacteria; Pseudomonadati; Verrucomicrobiota; Opitutia
Description: Opitutae bacterium (marine metagenome) partial transfer-messenger RNA
Rfam family: transfer-messenger RNA
About the family: Bacterial tmRNA, also known as 10Sa RNA or SsrA, is named for its dual tRNA and mRNA-like properties. Its role is to liberate the mRNA from a stalled ribosome. To accomplish this part of the tmRNA is used as a reading frame that ends in a translation stop signal.
Source: RNAcentral
CCUUCGAGCCUGAGCUCGAAGCUCUUGCAGCUUAAGUCUGCAACGUCCACAGUCUAUCGACACCUGCUAGGUAGUCGGGGCGUCAAAAGGCAGGUAAAACCUCGGAGCGUUUGGUUGUCUAUCGGAGGCUAAACGGCUGAAGACAACAUCGGCUUGGAAGGUGUUCCUUCCUUAACCAAGCUUAAAACAACAAGUGAACUACGCGCGUAGACGCCGGAUCGGAAGUAUUGCGGGACGCGGGUUCGAUUCCCGCCACCUCC